GAAGUAGCGCAGGGUCGGCUUCGGGGCGCGCAAAGCGGUGAGGAAGACCUGCGGCGGCGGGAGGAGAGCUGUGGCCACCGCUGCGCGCCGGAGGACGCACCGCCCCCACUCCUGGAGUCCAGCCCGGCGCUCACCUCCGCCACCUCCUCAGGGUUCUGCGCCGCCUCGCGAAAGACUUGCUUGCUGUGGGCGAGGUAUUGGUAGAAGCGGUGGAAGGUGUGGAUGUCCGUGCGGUCCAGCACCUCCUCUGGGCUGCCCAACACCUUCUCCAUGAAGGCGGUGUGCACUGGGCCGCACUCGAUCAGGCUCAAGCUGCUGGCCGGAGAGCAACGAGUGGGAGGGGGCGGACGCCAGCCAGGCCCCAGUCCCAGCCCCAACCCCAGUCCCAGCCCCAACCACGUCCCGGCCCCCGACCGCGAGCAGCACCGCUGCGCUGGGAAGUGAGGCGGAAAGGGCGCUGGGGAUAACCAGAACAUUUGAAACGCGGGUUCCUGCCGGAGCAGCCCUCCCAAAUCCAUCUGAGGCUACAAGGGAGCCCUGGUGUCAGGAUUCGAAUCUAGCGGGGUCCCUGGCCGCUGUGUGACCUUGGGCCAGUCACCUAACCUCUCUGGGCUGGAGCUUCCCCAUAACAAUACCAACACUUCAGCAGCUAGGUCAGCAGGUGGCACAAUGCGUGCCAUGCGCCCAGCCCAAGUGCCUGGCACACAGCUAAUGUGAGCCGGGCAGAGAGGGCCAGGGAGAUCGCCCCAGAGCGGCUCCCGCAGGACAGGGUGCUCGGCGUCUCUAGGUCAGAGUUAAGAGGGUUCGGGGAACGGGGGUGUUGACUCACUGGACCCCAAAGGGCAGCAGCAGAACCGCCAGACUCUCGCAUAAGCCUUCGAGCGCGAACUUGCUGGCGCAAUAAACGUCAUUGAAAGGCAGCCCUUAGGUGGGGAGACGAGGUUCCUGAGGCGCAGCGGCCAGGGGGUCAUCCCCGGGCAGACGGUGCCCCUCCAAGCUGACGGCACCCCACUCCACCCCCCCCGCGGAACCUGCCUUCAAGGCUCAGCUCCGCACACAAAGAAUCUGGAGCUGCCGAGGCCACUCCCUACCACUCACCCAUCAAUCCUCCCACGCUCCCGGUCACCAACACGCGUCCCGAACCGCGCCUCUUCAUGUCUGGCAGGAAGGCCUGCAGCAUCCGCACAGUCCCUACUACAUUCACGUCCAGCACAGAGGCCACGGCGUCCUCCCCCAGCGCCUCCAGCGGCCCCAGCAGGCCCAGGCCUGCGUUACACACUUUGAAGCUCUGGGAUGGAUCUGAAGCCAGACGUACGGCCAAGUGCAGGCCGAUGCCCGAGGAACAGCCGGUGAUGAGCACCACGGUGCGGGCCAUGGUGAGACUGUGGGGAGAGGCUGGGGCUCUGGGCUUGAUAUCACCUGCUUCGCCCCGCCCCGCCUGCGGGCCCCCACCCCUUGUUGUGUCUCCCACGCAAUCUCAAGGAUAAGCCUUCCUGCGGGUCCCUGGCCCGCUCUCCCCACCCUGUUCUGAGCCAAAACAGACAUGAGCCCACUGCUUGGAACAACAAACUGUCCUGGUUGCUGGUCAGAGGGAGGGGAGGCUUUACAAGCAGGUGUGGGUUCCCACGUGGGCACAGAGUGGCCCCCUGGGCAGAUUCCCCUGGGUAUGCCUCUGUGCCACAGGAGCGAUUAUAGUGACCGCAGUUUGCUGCAGAGGCUGUGAAAGUAAAGGCGUUGGGAGGUGGGAGAUGAUUGUAUAUGUGCUGGUUUCGUCCAGGGUUCCUAGCUCAUAACUCACAUGACCAUGGUUACAGUCUUACGUUGUCAUGUUGGGGUGCCUCAGGCCUCAAAAAACAGCCUUUCGUCUCUCUG
Molecule: long non-coding RNA, 1872 nt
Filed under: Homo sapiens (human)
Lineage: Eukaryota; Metazoa; Chordata; Mammalia; Primates; Hominidae
Description: non-protein coding lnc-PSMC3IP-3:3
Source: RNAcentral